AAUUCUCAACCUUAUCAGCUUUUGUUGAUAAUGGCUUGGAUGUGGGGGUUACUUUGCUGGUCUCUUUAAUGAGAUCAGCUCCCCUUAAAUGUAUUAGCUGGUUGCCUUGUGCAGACUUGUCUAUUGGUGUGAUAAUUAUCUACGCCGUGGACUUCUGCCAGUAUUUAGCACCGCUUCUAACUGUCUGUUUACUCAGACAAUUAUAUGACA
RNAcentral lists this unclassified non-coding RNA (210 nucleotides) under Pholiota lubrica. RNAcentral describes it as "partial internal transcribed spacer 2". The record is from RNAcentral. Lineage: Eukaryota; Fungi; Basidiomycota; Agaricomycetes; Agaricales; Strophariaceae.